Long non-coding RNA from Acinonyx jubatus (cheetah), 544 nucleotides. RefSeq lists it as uncharacterized. The transcript has 3 exons. Lineage: Eukaryota; Metazoa; Chordata; Mammalia; Carnivora; Felidae. The record is from RefSeq and is a predicted model, not a curated record.
AGAAGAUUGGAACCUAGAGAAUUGAAGAGUGUUGCUCAUCUCCUUGCUAUCUCCUCCCACAAGGAAGAGCUCCAUGAGAAGAGAUUUAUGUCUGUCUUGUUCUGUGAUGUAUCCCCACUGCCUAGAACAGUGUCUGGUAAUGACACUGGACAUUCAGUACACAUACAUUAAAAAAAGCACAGAAUUUGAAGGACUCUCUACCUCUUCCCAAAGCUUAUUAUGUAAGUCAAACUUUAAGAUUUCCAGUGUGGUAGAGAGAAAGCCCAGAGUAUAUGUGCCUACGCUGGCUGCUUGGCCAGGCUGUGGAUGACAGGCCUUAUUCCUCAGGAGGAACUGCAUAUCUGGAUUUGGGAGAUCUCUACCACCUUUCUAGAAGAGAAUACAACAAAACAAAGUCAUCUGCCAUUACGCAUCACAUUUCUUCUUAUUACUUCUUACCACAUGCAACUGCAUCACAGAAACCUCAGCUAAUAUCUGUCACAGAGUGCAGAAGGACAAUGAAAUUUCUGAUAACAUAUGAAUUUUAAUUUCACCGUAAAAUAAC